RNAcentral lists this ribosomal RNA (255 nucleotides) under uncultured bacterium. RNAcentral describes it as "partial 16S ribosomal RNA". It matches the Rfam family "Bacterial small subunit ribosomal RNA", at positions 524 to 776 of the family's 1533-position model. The record is from RNAcentral.
UACGAAGGGGGCUAGCGUUGCUCGGAAUCACUGGGCGUAAAGCGCACGUAGGUGGAUCGCUAAGUCAGGGGUGAAAUCCUGGAGCUCAACUCCAGAACUGCCUUUGAUACUGGCAAUCUCGAGUCCGGGAGAGGUGAGUGGAACUGCGAAGUGUAGAGGUGAAAUUCGUAGAUAUUCGCAAGAACACCAGUGGCGAAGGCGGCUCACUGGCCCGGUACUGACGCUGAGGUGGCGAAAGCGUGGGGAGCAAACAGG